RNAcentral lists this ribosomal RNA (918 nucleotides) under Ecytonucleospora hepatopenaei. RNAcentral describes it as "bacterial SSU rRNA". It matches the Rfam family "Microsporidia small subunit ribosomal RNA", at positions 260 to 1185 of the family's 1311-position model. The record is from RNAcentral. Lineage: Eukaryota; Fungi; Microsporidia; Enterocytozoonidae.
AGAUGGCUCCCACGUCCAAGGAUGGCAGCAGGCGCGAAAAUUGUCCACUCUUUUGAGAGGAGACAGUUAUGAAACGUGAGUAGAAGGGUCGAGUGUAAAAACCUUGACGUGAAGCAAUUGGAGGGCAAGUUUUGGUGCCAGCAGCCGCGGUAAUUCCAACUCCAAGAGUGUCUAUGGUGGAUGCUGCAGUUAAAGGGUCCGUAGUCGUAGAUGCAAUUAAAAGGUGGUGUUAAAAGCCAUUGAGUUUGUUGAGAGUAGCGGAACGGAUAGGGAGCAUGGUAUAGGUGGGCAAAGAAUGAAAUCUCAAGACCCCACCUGGACCAACGGAGGCGAAAGCGAUGCUCUUAGACGUAUCUGGGGAUCAAGGACGAAGGCUAGAGUAUCGAAAGUGAUUAGACACCGCUGUAGUUCUAGCAGUAAACUAUGCCGACAAUGCUGGGUGUUGCGAGAGCGAUGCUUGGUGUGGGAGAAAUCUUAGUUUUCGGGCUCUGGGGAUAGUACGCUCGCAAGGGUGAAACUUAAAGCGAAAUUGACGGAAGGACACUACCAGGAGUGGAUUGUGCUGCUUAAUUUAACUCAACGCGGGAAAACUUACCAGGGUCAAGUCUAUCGUAGAUUGGAGACAUGAGGUAGACAAGAGUGGUGCAUGGCCGUUGGAAAUUGAUGGGGCGACUUUUAGCUUAAGUGCUGGAACCAGUGAGAUCUUCUAGACAGGUGUUAUUUAGGCACAGGAGGGAGAAGGCAAUAACAGGUCCGUGAUGCCCUUAGAUAUCCUGGGCAGCAAGCGCAAUACAAUAUCUCUUGAGAAGACAAAGCAAUUUGAGAUGAGUAGGAUUAGCUUUUGUAAAUAAGCUAUGAAUGAGGAAUUCCUAGUAACAGUGUCUCAUCAAGGCAUUGUGAAUGUGUCCCUGUUCUUUG